UGCCAAAUUAAGCUUCCUUUCUUUUAACAAUCUUAUAUUUAGAUUUGUUUUUAUCGGUUUUGGUUUGUUAUUUUCGUAUCUUAGUGAAAUUGACCUUACAUGUUUUGAAUUCAUGGGCACAGAAAUAACAAACAAAUAAAAAACAAAUGAAAAAAAAAAAAAACACGUACCAAUUAGAGGUGAACAAGAACAAUCAUGAGUAUCUAUCUGUACAAAUCUGCAUUUGAUCAAUAACAAUAAUAUUAAUACACAUGUU
This 256-nucleotide long non-coding RNA is filed under the name Mytilus galloprovincialis (Mediterranean mussel). The record is from RNAcentral. Lineage: Eukaryota; Metazoa; Mollusca; Bivalvia; Mytilida; Mytilidae.